Molecule: long non-coding RNA, 1373 nt
Organism: Andrographis paniculata
Lineage: Eukaryota; Viridiplantae; Streptophyta; Magnoliopsida; Lamiales; Acanthaceae
Exons: 2
Source: RefSeq, a predicted model, not a curated record
UUCAAAAUAAUUUCCCCAUUUUUCCUGCAGCCAUCGCGUCUGCCUCCCCCCUCCCCCUUCUCUUUUCUCCUUCUUCUUCGUCUUCUUCGCAGAUCAGACGCACAGCCACCGUGCGCUGCCAUGUACGCCUGCAGCCGCUACCAACUGGCCUCCCUAUUUCAGUCGCUGAAGACAACCGCCGCCCGUCGCCGAUUCCAUAAGCCGCGGUUCCCGAAAAUCCACCACCAGACACCAGAGCACGACAUCCCUCCUCCGCCGGACCGACCAGCGCCAGCCACCACUGUGCCUCGCACAGUCUGCCUUUGUCAAACGCAUAGCCACCCGCGCCGCCGCCGUCACAUUUGCCUCCCCCGCUGACCAUCCUCCCUUCGAUUCCAACCCGUCGCCGAGAUUCCUUCCUUCACUGCUGCCCGACGCCAAGCCCAGCCAGUCCAAGCUGCACAUCCGUCGACCGGUGUUCCUGUUUCAGCCGCAGAUGCCAGCCGCCGUCGAGUCCCCUUUGACAACCGCCGUUGCGCCUUCGCCCUGCCACUCCUCCGGCUGACUCGAACCGCGCCACUACGUCUCGCUAGUGCAAUUCAAUUUCCCUUCUCUCUAUUCUUUUGUAGGUUUUAUUGUAUUAUGUUUUGGUUAAGAUCUGAUUUAUUGAAUUUUCUUCUAUAGGAUGACAAAUAAAGGGGAAAAAUCUAACAACUUCAAAGAAACAUGCGAAUGUUGUCUAUAAAAUUCCCACGGCAAUCCCACAUAGUUAUUCAGGCUCAUAAGGGAGUGCCUCGCAGCAGAAUCCAAUGCAACAUGGAGUUGAACUUCAAGACCUAUGUAGAAUGUUUGAAUUUGUAGGCAGUCAAGAAAUUCAUGGUGCAGAUAAUUGCGGAGCAUGAUUUUGAAGUACGACCAUGCAUGGGGAAAUGAUUCAUCCUCUCCUUACUUGAAUUGAGAGAUAUGCAUGCAUUGUUGUUCAGUAUUGCUAACAGGAUGAAAGCAGGCUAAGAACUAUUGAUAUCACCUCGAUCGGCGAAGGAUAUGACUUUGGGAAUGAAGUUAAUUCAUUUUUCUAUUUCGCCCUUGAGUGCAAAUGGAAAUAUGAGUAACUUGGCAGCAUCCACAGAUAAACCAUUCCCUUUGAAUGAGAGCAAACCCUAGAAAAGCUCUUCAGGUAGUCGUAUGGGCUCUCAUACAGGAGGCCACUAUAAUGCGUUGGACUACCAGUGAGACUAUCAUUGGCUUCAAUUCAAAGAAUCCCUCCACUCUAUAGAAUUAGGGUAGUGUCCAGUAAAACUUCAUAGUGGGCAUCCAUUUGAACAUUAUUGUGUGGUGCCUGAGGAUUCUGGACUCUUUCUCUUUCAUGUUUUGAUUUCCCUGUUGAUCAGCCA